CCGUCGCACCUACCGAUUGAAUGUUUCGGUGAAGAUUCCGGACUGUGGCUCGCGUGCUUCACGGCGCUCUUGCCGUGGGAAGUUAUCUAAACCUCAACAUUUAGAGGAAGGUGAAGUCGUAACAAGGUUUCCGUUAGUGAACCUGCGGAAGGAUCAUUA
RNAcentral lists this ribosomal RNA (159 nucleotides) under Alaria crassifolia. Its description in RNAcentral is "partial 18S ribosomal RNA". It matches the Rfam family "Eukaryotic small subunit ribosomal RNA", at positions 1673 to 1831 of the family's 1831-position model. The record is from RNAcentral. Lineage: Eukaryota; Phaeophyceae; Laminariales; Alariaceae.